Molecule: ribosomal RNA, 822 nt
Filed under: uncultured Gaetbulibacter sp.
Lineage: Bacteria; Pseudomonadati; Bacteroidota; Flavobacteriia; Flavobacteriales; Flavobacteriaceae
Description: bacterial SSU rRNA
Rfam family: Bacterial small subunit ribosomal RNA
Source: RNAcentral
CAGGCCUAACACAUGCAAGUCGAGGGGUAACAGAGAGAAGCUUGCUUCUUUGCUGACGACCGGCGCACGGGUGCGUAACGCGUAUACAAUCUACCUUUUGCUGAGGGAUAGCCCAGAGAAAUUUGGAUUAAUACCUCAUAGUAUAUAUGAAUCGCAUGGUUUAUAUAUUAAAGGUUACGGCAGAAGAUGAGUAUGCGUUCUAUUAGCUAGAUGGUGUGGUAACGGCACACCAUGGCAACGAUAGAUAGGGGCCCUGAGAGGGGGAUCCCCCACACUGGUACUGAGACACGGACCAGACUCCUACGGGAGGCAGCAGUGAGGAAUAUUGGACAAUGGGCGAGAGCCUGAUCCAGCCAUGCCGCGUGCAGGAAGACUGCCCUAUGGGUUGUAAACUGCUUUUAUACAGGAAGAAACACUCCCUCGUGAGGGAGCUUGACGGUACUGUAAGAAUAAGGAUCGGCUAACUCCGUGCCAGCAGCCGCGGUAAUACGGAGGAUCCAAGCGUUAUCCGGAAUCAUUGGGUUUAAAGGGUCCGUAGGUGGAUAAUUAAGUCAGGGGUGAAAGUCUGCAGCUCAACUGUAGAAUUGCCUUUGAUACUGGUUAUCUUGAAUUAUUAUGAAGUAGUUAGAAUAUGUAGUGUAGCGGUGAAAUGCAUAGAUAUUACAUAGAAUACCAAUUGCGAAGGCAGAUUACUAAUAAUAUAUUGACACUGAUGGACGAAAGCGUGGGGAGCGAACAGGAUUAGAUACCCUGGUAGUCCACGCCGUAAACGAUGGAUACUAGCUGUUCGGAUUUAUCUGAGUGGCUAAGCGAAAGUGAUAA